CCUACGGGAGGCUGCAGUGGGGAAUAUUGCGCAAUGGGCGAAAGCCUGACGCAGCGACGCCGCGUGAGGGAUGAAGGUCUUCGGAUCGUAAACCUCUGUCAGCAGGGAAGAACGGUCACUGUGUUAAUCAGCAGCGAAUUGACGGUACCUGCAAAGGAAGCACCGGCUAACUCCGUGCCAGCAGCCGCGGUAAUACGGAGGGUGCGAGCGUUAAUCGGAAUUACGGGGCGUAAAGCGCGCGUAGGCGGUAUGUCAAGUCAAGGGUGAAAUCCCCGCGCUCAACGUGGGAACUGCCUUUGAAACUGGCAAACUGGAGUGUGUGAGAGGAGAGUAGAAUUCCAGGUGUAGGAGUGAAAUCCGUAGAUAUCUGGAGGAACAUCAGUGGCGAAGGCGACUAUCUGGCACAUAACUGACGCUGAGGAGCGAAAGCGUGGGUAGCAAACAGGAUUAGAUACCCUGGUAGUC
Molecule: ribosomal RNA, 465 nt
Filed under: uncultured bacterium
Lineage: Bacteria
Description: partial 16S ribosomal RNA
Rfam family: Bacterial small subunit ribosomal RNA
Source: RNAcentral